RNAcentral lists this ribosomal RNA (519 nucleotides) under Ocypode ceratophthalmus. RNAcentral describes it as "partial 16S rRNA". It matches the Rfam family "Bacterial large subunit ribosomal RNA", at positions 1831 to 2597 of the family's 2925-position model. The record is from RNAcentral. Lineage: Eukaryota; Metazoa; Arthropoda; Malacostraca; Decapoda; Ocypodidae.
GUCUGUUUGAAGGUAUAAGGAGUCUGAUCUGCCCACUGAAAUAUUUAAGGGCCGCGGUAAUCUGACCGUGCAAAGGUAGCAUAAUCGUUAGUUUUUUAAUUGAAAUCUUGUAUGAAUGAUUGGACAAGGGGGGUACUGUCUCUGUGUUUAUUUUUGAAUUUAACUUUUAAGUGAAAAGGCUUAAAUGAUUUAAAAAGACGAUAAGACCCUAUAAAGCUUAAUAAGUUAAAUUAGUUGACUGAAUUAAUAAAUAAUAGUUAAUUAAUUAAUCAUAUUUUGUUGGGGCGACAAUGGUAAAAUGUUUAUCAACUACUAAAUUUUUAUGACAAAUAUUGGUGAAUACAUCAGUAUUAAAUGAUCCUAGGAUAAGAUUUAAAGAUGAAGUUACUUUAGGGAUAACAGCGUUAUUUUUUUUGAGAGUUCUUAUCGAAAAAAAAGUUUGCGACCUCGAUGUUGAAUUAAAAUGUCUAUUCAAUUGCAGAAGUUGAAAUAGUAGGUCUGUUCGACCUUUAAAAUUUU